This 519-nucleotide long non-coding RNA is filed under the name Camelus dromedarius (Arabian camel). RNAcentral's name for it is "lncRNA (ENSCDRG00005003029.1)". Lineage: Eukaryota; Metazoa; Chordata; Mammalia; Artiodactyla; Camelidae. The record is from RNAcentral.
CUGACAGUCAAGUCAGCUUGCCGCACAAACCCAUGUUCUGAUUGUCCCGUUGAGAAUGAGGCUCCCCGUCAGGCGGUGCGUCAGGAGAUGAGUUCAAGCUCCUGAUUUGGAAGCCAGGUCUCCCCUCUGUCUCAUCAGCGGGAAGUGUGGAAAGGAGGGGAGAGGGAGCUCUUCCCCUUUGUGUGAGGCAGCUGAUCUGGAAACCCCACGAAGGGCCCCCGGCCAGCACACCCUCUUCUCUUGUGUCAUCUGCAGGCUCUGUCCUUCCUCCACAAACGCCAGGACGGCGCCGGCUGCAGGGGCUGAGCCAUGUCCCUCCAUCCCACCGGCCUCCUGGGCCUCGUGCUCCUUCUGGGCCAACGAUCUGCGCACAGGAGGCUCCGGGCCUCCUCACAGGCCGACUUCUCCACCCUGAGUGCCCGCUUGCCCCCCAGCCCUCAGCUCGGCUAUCCGCACCCUGACCUCUGACGUCCCAGAGGCGGGCAGCCCUGCCUCCCGCCGGCCCCCCCGAUGCCCCAC